GAUGAACGCUGGCGGCGUGCCUAAUACAUGCAAGUCGAACGGGAGACCUGGUUUCGACCGGGUUGAGAGUGGCGCACGGGUGAGGAACACAUGGCUGACCUGCCCUUCAGAGGGGGAUAACGGCUGGAAACGGCUGCUAAUACCCCAUACGCUCCUUGGGAUUAGAGGCCUGAGGAGGAAAGCCUUCGGGUGCUGAAGGAGGGGGGCUGUGGCCCAUCAGCUUGUUGGUAGGGUAACGGCCUACCAAGGCGACGACGGGUAGGGGGCCUGAGAGGGUGACCCCCCCACACUGGGACUGAGACACGGCCCAGACUCCUACGGGAGGCAGCAGUAAGGGAUCUUGCGACAAUGGGCGAAAGCCUGACGCAGCAACGCCGCGUGCGGGAGGACGGCCUUCGGGUUGUAAACCGCUUUUCGGGGGGAAGAGGAAGGACGGUACCCCCGGAAGAAGUCUCGGCUAACUACGUG
RNAcentral lists this ribosomal RNA (468 nucleotides) under uncultured bacterium. Its description in RNAcentral is "partial 16S ribosomal RNA". It matches the Rfam family "Bacterial small subunit ribosomal RNA", at positions 28 to 507 of the family's 1533-position model. The record is from RNAcentral.